Nematostella vectensis (starlet sea anemone) is the source of this 3055-nucleotide long non-coding RNA. RefSeq lists it as uncharacterized. The record is from RefSeq and is a predicted model, not a curated record. Lineage: Eukaryota; Metazoa; Cnidaria; Anthozoa; Actiniaria; Edwardsiidae. The transcript has 2 exons.
AAUUCACUUACAUUCUGGUCUUGAUAAUUGUCAGACGUUAUUAUAUAAAGUGUUGUGCUAUGUUUUGUUGUUAAAUCGUUGUGCUGAUUACUACGACUGCCCUGAAACCACCCCCUAUGCUUGUUAAUAAAAUUGUAAAAAAAGGCAUUGUAUACAUACUGUAUGCUUGAUUAGUUCAAAACCAUCAGUUUUGCAAUAAGAUGCUUUAUGAUACCUAGUUUGUGAGUGACUAAGAAUGUGUUGUAAUAACCUUUUGUGUUUUUUUUUAGUGUAGCUGUAGUUGUCCAGUCUUAAACACUUCAGACUUUUCUGUUUUGUUUCUUUCCUUUUUUAACUCGGGAAUACUUGCAAAGCAUUUACGAGUUAUUGGAGGGACUUCCAGGGGUGGAUCCAGGGUAGUUUACGUGAGUUCCGGAACACACUCAAAGUUUUUCAGACCAAGUUAUUUUAAACUUAAAUGGCUUUUUAAAAAAUACUCCGAUAUCCCUAGAAACUAUUGGCUUGUCUGUGGAAAUCAUUCAAUCUCCUGUAUUUUUGGUUUUUAAUUAAAUUAAACACGUAAAAAGAUGCCUUAUCGUCUUUAUUAUUCUUAUGCGACUUCACGGAGCGCCCUGGAUCACGAGCUUUGGAUUUGAGCUUCGAUUACUUUUCGGGAACCUUCGGAAAUCCGUCGGAUAAGAUCGGAAAAUAUUGUCACCAAUUUGCAAGCGAGGGGGUGGGUGAGGUGUUAUUAUAGUUAGCCCUGGAACACACUCAAAACCUCGCGCGAUUGGCUGGAAUUUUUUUCAUUGUGUUGGAACUCACUCAAAACCAUUUUUGAUUGGCUAACUCACUUGGAAACCACCGCGGAAACUAUCGACAAAAGUAUAAAAGGGUCUGUACCUCCCCCAACGGUCUUCUUUCGUUUGCCUUCACUAGAAUCUCAGUACUUGCAUCGGAGUUUACGAAGGAAUUAGUUAACAAAUUGCACUAGUUUUUACUCUUUAUGGCUCGUGCUCCUGUCUGUCGGAAGGAGGAUUGUUCUCCCUACGACAUUGGCUUAGUCUUCGACAAGAUCGCCAGCUAUUCGCCUCAGGACAAGUUGAAAUUCAUCGAAAAUGUAUGGAAACCAGGUGAGCUUUUCGAUUUCCCAGUGUCAAUAGAGAAUGGAAAAUCUCGCAAGUUUGUUUUAAACUGGCUAAAGAAAUAUCCAUGGCUAGCCUACUCUAAAUAUUACAAUGGAGUGUUUUGCUUAGCUUGUGUUUGUUUCGGAGUUCAGUGUGGGCGAAACGCUAGUAAGUUAGACAAAUUAUUGAAGUCUCCUCUUACAAAUUGGACUUCGGCCGCUUCGCGCUUUACAAAACACGCGCAAUGAAAUUGUGAAAUUCACAAAUUUUCUAUGAUUGCUAUAGAAGAAUUUAAGAAAAUGAUGCGAACAGACGCUGUCCCGAUAAAUCUGCAGUUAAAUAACAUCGUUCAACAGCAAAUUGCUAGAAACCGUGAGAUCCUUAGGUCCCUUUUUAAAACAAUUAUUUUCUGUGGGAAAAACAAUAUCCCACUCAGGGGCUUGAGGGAUAGUGACCCCACUAAUGCUGCCCUAGCUGGUAAUUUCCAGGCACUGCUUGAAUUCCGGGUAGAUAGUGGUGACCAAAUACUGGAGCAGCACCUAGAAAAUGCACCAAGAAAUGCCACAUACAUUUCAAAGACCAUCCAGAAUCAAAUGAUAUCAACUGUUGGUGCUCAUAUUUUAAAUAAUUUAUCUCAAGAAAUGAGGGAUAGUAAAUAUUUUUCUGUAAUGGCAGAUGAAGUGGCUGAUAUAGCAAACAAAGAAAAUCUUUCUGUUGUGAUUAGAUUUCUCGACUCAACCAAAAACUUUAGAGAAGAAUUUAUUGGAUUUUAUAUUUGUAAGGAGGGAACAACAGGAGAGGCCAUCAAAGACCUUAUAACUGCAGCUGUAGUAGACUUAGGAUUGAUGAUGGAAGACUGUCGUGGCCAAUGUUAUGAUGGCGCUGGCAAUAUGGCUGGACGACUUAAUGGAGCCUCCUCGUUAAUCAGAGCAGAACAUGAGAAGGCAAUUUUUGUCCAUUGCAUGAAUCACUAGCUGAAUUUGUGUAUUGCCAAUACCUGCCAAAUACCAAAUGUCAGAAACAUGAUGGAUGUUGUGCGAAAGCUUUUUUAAUUUUUUGACAACUCUCCCAAGCGACAAGAACAUUUAGAAUUCAAGAUCAUAGAACUUUUGCAAAAAAACAAAAACAAAAAAAAAACCCACACUGCUUUAAUUAAUGUAUGCCGCACCCGAUGGAUUGAAAGGAUAGAUGCUAUGGACCGAAUAGUUGAGCUUCCCAUCCAGUCACAGCUACACUAGAAGAUAUCUCAAUGAACAGACACAAGCAUGAAAAUACCAACUGGAAUCCUACCAGCAGACAAGAUGCCCAAUCAUUACUUAAUGCUAUCAACUUUUCCUUUAUUGUUGCUAUUGUUAUUGUCAGACAUAUUUUGGCACUAACUAAGCGACUUACAGUGAAGCUGCAAAGUAAAGCUAUGGAUAUCCUGAAAGCUAAAGAAGAACUUGCUCUUCUGAUAUCAGUUCUCACAGAAAUGAGCAAUGACAUUGAUGCCACACACCAAGACAAGUAGAUGUACAACCAGAUAUGCCAAGGGUAGCUCAGAGACAGACACAUAGACCCAAUGCUCCUGCUUCAAAUCCUGAAGACUAUUAACAAGAUAAAUCUGACCAGAGUUUUCCUAGACCAUGUACUCGAGCAGCUCGAUUCUAGAUUCAAGGAUGAUGUAUUUAUCUGCUACAAAGAGCUCCAGUUACUGCAGUCCCCAAGGAUGAAAAAGGGGAGUUUUUAUUCAAAUUAUAUUGUCUAUAAUUUGUACAUAUCUUUUGUAUAUGACAUAUGAUAUUAAUAUUGGAAUUUUUUUUUUCUUAUUAUCUUGAAAACUCCUGGACCAAGGACCAACCACAGGCUUGCACAUAGACCAGUGGCACCGGUUUGGAUACCAGAAACUUUUUGUAGAGCAAGGUGUUCCAUGUACCACCUUCAACAAAAUAAAACUUUUUUUGCCUUUA